GAGGAAUUUUGGACAAUGAGCGAAAGCUUGAUCCAGCAAUACCGCAUGUGUGAAGAAGGUUUACUGUAAAGCACUUUUUUAAAGGAAUAAACUAUUUGAAUGUACUUUAAGAAUAAGCACCGGCUAAUUACGUGCCAGCAGCCGCGGUAAUACGUAAGGUGCAAGCGUUAAUCGGUUUUAUUAGGCGUAAAGGGUGUGUAGGUGGAUUAUUAUGAAGAAUGUAAAAUAAUAGUUCUCAAAGCUAUAAAGCAUUCUUUACUAUUAAUCUUGAGUUUUAGUAGAGAGAACAGAAUUCUACAUGUAACGGUGAAAUGUGUAAAUAUGUAGAGGAAUACCAAAAGCGAAGGCAGUUCUCUUACUUCUUCUGACACUGAUACACUAAAGCGUGGGGAGCAAACAGGAUUAGAUACCCUGGUAGUCCACGCCCUAAACUAUGUCAACUAACCAAUAGAUCUAAGGGUGUAGCAAACGCGUAAAGUUGACCGCCUGGGGACUACGAUCGCAAGAUUAAAACUCAAAGGAAUUGACGGGGACCCGUACAAGCGGUGGAUGAUGUGGAUUAAUUCGAUGCAACACGAAAAACCUUACCUACCCUUGACAUGUAUAGAAUCUAAUUGAAAAAUUAGAGUGCCUAUAACACAGGUGCUGCAUGGCUGUCGUCAGUUCGUGUCGUGAGAUGUUGGGUUAAGUCCUAUAACGAACGAAACCCUCAUUUUAAAUUACUAAAGAACUUUUAAAAGACUGCCAAUUAAAAAUUGGAGGAAGGAGAGGAUGACGUCAAGUCCUCAUGGCCCUUAUGGGUAGGGCUUCACACGUCAUACAAUGGUUAAUACAAAAAGAUGCAAUCCUGUAAAGGGGAGCUAAACUUUAAAAUUAACCCUAGUUCGGAUUGUGCUCUGAAACUCGAGCACAUGAAGUAGGAAUCGCUAGUAAUCGUAGAUUAGAAUGCUACGGUGAAUACGUUCUCGGGUC
RNAcentral lists this ribosomal RNA (972 nucleotides) under Candidatus Vidania fulgoroideorum. RNAcentral describes it as "bacterial SSU rRNA". It matches the Rfam family "Bacterial small subunit ribosomal RNA", at positions 356 to 1380 of the family's 1533-position model. The record is from RNAcentral. Lineage: Bacteria; Pseudomonadati; Pseudomonadota; Betaproteobacteria.